Long non-coding RNA from Dermochelys coriacea (leatherback sea turtle), 176 nucleotides. RefSeq lists it as uncharacterized. The record is from RefSeq and is a predicted model, not a curated record. NCBI's taxonomy places the organism in Eukaryota, Metazoa, Chordata, Testudines, Dermochelyidae. The transcript is spliced from 3 exons.
AAAACAGGAGUAGAUCAGCAUGUAGUCAUGUCUGCAAUACUCUUCAACAUUGCCAUUGACUGGGUAAUGCAGUGUACAACAGAAGGCAUGCCAAGAGGCAUUAAAUGGACACCCUUCUCAUCCCUUGAAGACCUGGACUACGCAGAUGAUGUUGCUCUCCUAUCACAUACCCAACA